GCGAACGCUGGCGGCAGGCCUAACACAUGCAAGUCGAACGGAUCCUUCGGGAUUAGUGGCGGACGGGUGAGUAACACGUGGGAACGUGCCUUUUGGUUCGGAACAACUCAGGGAAACUUGAGCUAAUACCGAAUGUGCCCUUCGGGGGAAAGAUUUAUCGCCAUUAGAGCGGCCCGCGUCUGAUUAGCUUGUUGGUGAGGUAAAGGCUCACCAAGGCUACGAUCAGUAGCUGGUCUGAGAGGAUGAUCAGCCACAUUGGGACUGAGACACGGCCCAAACUCCUACGGGAGGCAGCAGUGGGGAAUCUUGCGCAAUGGGCGAAAGCCUGACGCAGCCAUGCCGCGUGAAUGAUGAAGGUCUUAGGAUUGUAAAAUUCUUUCACCGGGGACGAUAAUGACGGUACCCGGAGAAGAAGCCCCGGCUAACUUCGU
This 431-nucleotide ribosomal RNA is filed under the name uncultured bacterium. RNAcentral's name for it is "bacterial SSU rRNA". It matches the Rfam family "Bacterial small subunit ribosomal RNA", at positions 29 to 506 of the family's 1533-position model. The record is from RNAcentral.